AGACUCCAAAGACUAAGAUAAAAGACCAAUAUCAUGGGAAGUAGACUAGCUAGUAAACCAUUUUCAUCUUGUGUAUUAUGUUUUUUUUUUUUUUUUUUUUUUUUAAAAUGGCUAAAUAACUAGCAGGAAAAUAAUGGGAGGGUGUAAUUGAGAAAAUAUUAGAAAUGAAGGUACGGAAGCAACGAAAAAAGAUCUUAAAAGUUUAUUAGAGUGUUGCAACUAUUGAAAUUAUGAUUAUCGCGAAGCUAUUAAUGAAAGGGCUAAUUUAAAGGAUCAUCUCUAUACUUUCACUAGCCCCGAAAUAACCCAAUAACCUCUAUGGCUUGUAAACAAAUAACUCAAGAAACACGGUAUAUGGUCAGUUAUGGAUGAAAUUUUGAAGAAAAAUUAUUACUAAUCUACAUCUAAGAAAAACCAUCCUGGCUUCAUUCACUGUAUUUAGUGGAAAUGUAGUUCACAAGAUUAUCGAAUUAGAUUGUUAUUCCUCAAUAUGCAUGACUCCAAGCGGUCCUUUGGUUUUAUUUCCUGUUUUAAAGGGAAAUGAAUUAAAUUCUUAUUCCUUAGAAAAUCUCAAUGACGCUUUUAAACGUACUUGUACAUUGGACCUACUUUACUGGAGAAACAUUUGCGGUCAGCAACUACUAUUAAGUUACUAACCUCAUGGCAGCUAAAUUUUGAAAAAUGAC
This is a non-coding RNA of Schizosaccharomyces pombe (fission yeast), 686 nucleotides long. Lineage: Eukaryota; Fungi; Ascomycota; Schizosaccharomycetes; Schizosaccharomycetales; Schizosaccharomycetaceae. The record is from the annotation of a GenBank genome assembly.